Molecule: long non-coding RNA, 304 nt
Organism: Mauremys reevesii (Reeves's turtle)
Lineage: Eukaryota; Metazoa; Chordata; Testudines; Geoemydidae
Exons: 3
Source: RefSeq, a predicted model, not a curated record
AGAGCUCAGCCCCCUCCGGAGCCAUGCGGCUGCCUCGCUGGGCAGGGCCGCUCCUCGAGGCGCGCGGUGAGCCGGGGACAACUUCAAAGAUUCUUACUUUUCAAAAUUAAGAUAAGGUUUGAUAAAAGAUUCCGCGAACUUCAGCUACACUGAAGGAAAAAUAACAGACCAUAGGCUAUUCAAGACAGUACUCAAGCACAAGCAUAAGUCCUCUGCUAAAAUGGACGUAAUUGUUUGCAAAACAUUGGAAUAGACUAGCAACAGUAAGCUGGUACAUGGAAAUUUGGGAACCACUGCAAUAGAC